Molecule: non-coding RNA, 23806 nt
Organism: Oryctolagus cuniculus (rabbit)
Lineage: Eukaryota; Metazoa; Chordata; Mammalia; Lagomorpha; Leporidae
Source: RefSeq, a predicted model, not a curated record
CAAGCACCUCAUUAGCAGAAUGAGGGGUGUCCCCUGUGUCGCCUGGGACUCCCAGUGAGGGAAGCAGAGGUGAAGCUGGCCGAGUGGGUAGGCGGGGUUUGCGUGCGCUGCAUUGUUGUGACAACGCCAAGUCCUUGCUGAUGCACCCAAGGCAGCAGGAGAACCAGGGGUACACAGAGCCCCCUUCCCGGGACCGGCAUGGGAGGGGGGGGAGGAGGAGGAGGAGGUGUCGGACAGGCAGAGGCUGCUCAGAUCCUCCAGCCCCAGGCCAGCCUGGAGUCCCCUGGACAGCAGAGGCCCGUGGGGAGGCUUCCUAGACCACAGCCCACAGCAAAGCCCUGCCCCUCGGCCUUGCCAUCAAGCCUGGUCCUGUCCAUGCCUCACAGCCCCAGCUGUGGGAGGGGCCUCAGGGAGCCAGCCCCAGGCCUGAGCAGUCCAGAGUUCGAAACAUGCCAGCACCCCAGACUCACACACUUUCCCUCUUGCUUCUCGCUUCUUGCUUUCGGGGAAGUCAAGAGCUCCGGGUCAGAGCGGGGCGCGGGGUUUCCAUGGAGGUGCCGGGUUCCUGGGAGGCUACCCUGUGGUCUGCUGGCUCAGGAAUUCCAACCGGCGUUCCUCCGCGUGGUCCGGCUUCCCAGCCGCCACGCCACAGCUCACCUGGGCACCUGCCCUCUGGGUGGGGCUUGACGUCUACACCUCCAGCUCCCUCCCUGGGCCCUCCUGCCUUUGUUCGUGUUUGCAUGCUUGCGCUUCCUUGUCCCUUGAAGAUCCCGAACUCCUGUGCACUAGGAAGAAACGCAGCCCAGGGGCCGGCGCUGUGAUGUAGCAGGGUAAGCCUCCGCCUGCAGCACCGGCGUCCCAUGUGGGCGCUGGUUCUUGUCCCAGCUGCUCGUGUUCUGACCCAGCUCUCUGCUACAGCCUGGGAAAGCAGUAGAAGAUGGCCCAAGUACCUGGGCCCCUGCACUCGCAUGGGAGGCCUGGAAGAAGCUCCUGGCUCCUGGCUUCGGAUCAAUGUAGCUCUGGCCGUUGCGGCCAUUUGGGGAGUGAACCAGCAGAUGCAAGAUCUCUCUGUCGGCCGGUGCCGCGGCUCACUAGGCUAAUCCUCCACCUUGUGGUGCCGGCACACCGGGUUCUAGUCCCGGUGGGGGCGCCGGAUUCUGUCCCGGUUGCCCCUCUUCCAGGCCAGCUCUCUGCUGUGGCCAGGGAGUGCAGUGGAGGAUGGCCCAAGUGCUUGCGCCCUGCACCCCAUGGGAGACCAGGAGAAGUAGCUGGCUCCUGCCAUCGGAUCAGCGCGGUGCGCCAGCCGCGGCGGCCAUUGGAGGGUGAACCAACGGCAAAGGAAGACCUUUCUCUCUGUCUCUCUCUCACUGUCCACUCUGCCUGUCAAAAAAAAAAAAAAAAAAAAAAAAAAAAAAGAUCUCUCUGUCUGUGACUCUGCCUUUCAAAUAAACAAAUAAAUCUUAAAAAAAAGAAACGCAGCCUAGGGGGAUGGGGCUGCCCUUCUCCGGGCCUCAGUGUACCUCACUGAAGAAUGGGAAUAGGCCUGUCAGAACCCCGGAGUCAGCGAAGCUGUUGGGGCCAGCGCUUGUUGGUGGGUGUGACUUUGUAGAUGAACUUGUAGCCAUGGUGGCAGGUCAGCUGCAUGGCAGGAGUACUGACUGGUGACUGGAAGGUGCUUUCUCCAAAGCUUCGGGUGUGGCUCGGGUGGCUGCGAUUUGCCGUGGGGCGUGCUGGAAGCUUCUUUGUGUAGCCUCCCCACGUGCCGCUUUGCUGUCUGCAGACACACUGCCCCCUCCUCCGCCCCUCUGCAGGUCUUCCCCACCCCGGGGUGGAUUCUUGGGAAUGAUUCACUCCAGAGGAGGCUGCGGGCUGGCCAGGCCAAGUCCCAGAAAUUGCAGGGGAGGCCCUCUGAGGGCAGUGCCCACUUGGCCCCGGGGAAGUGGCUCCAUCUCAUCCUGUGUGCUCAGGCGGCAGGCGGCCAGCCCGUCUGCCGAGCCAGUGUGCAGCGGGCAGACUGAGCAGGCCGGUAGCGUACGAGGGUGCACGGGCUGGCUGCUUUUCCCGGGGAUUCCGCUCUCACGCCGGCAGAGUUGCGGGCGUGGGACGGGAGGGCGUUGGCAGUAAGGUGCUUAUCCUGGGUGGAAUUUGUGUUGUCACACAAGCUUUUGGGCCGCCUGGGAGCCUCUACGGCCCCGUUUGUCAAAGCACUAAUCCUGAAUACGCUAGGGGGCGCCAGCCGCUGUUCAGACUUCCCGUGUCCUUGAACCCCUUUCCCUCACCCCACAGCCCUGAGCGACCAACAAGCCAGGGCACAGAGAGGGGAAGUGACUUGUACAAGGUCGCCCAGACUGGGAGUGGGAGAGGCAGGAUUUGAACCCAGGCCCUGUCCUCUCUGUGUACACGUGGCUACACCUCCAUGCCUUUCCCGCUGCCCAGCACGCAGGAAGCAGGUAGCAAAUGGCAGUUGUUGGGCAGGUUCUCAAGUCCCUGUGCCACACCCCUCCCUGGUGGGCAGCAGAGAUGGGUCUGGCUCGUGAAAUGCAGACUCCAGUCCUCCCACCCUCCCACUUCCCACACUCUCAUCAGCAACCAAGUCUCAACUCUCCCUCCUGUUCACUGUAAGCACGGGGCAAGGCACGGUCCGUCUCUGAGCCUCAGUUUCCCGAACUGUUAAAUGGGUGAAUUCAGCCUGCAACAUGGUUUUCGUUUAGCUCCUGUGCAGUGUGUGUGUGUGUGAUUUAUUUAAAAAAAAAAGAUUUAUUUUACUUAUUUGGGAGACAGAGUUACAGAGAGAGGUAGAGCCAGAGAGAGAGAGGUCUUCCAUUCCAUUGGUUCAUUCCCCAAAUGGCCGGAAUGGCCAGGGCUGGGCCAGACCAAAGCCAGGAGCUUCUUCCAGGUCUCCCACACAGGUGCAGGGGCCCAAGGACUUGGGCCAUCUUCUUCUGCUUUCCCAGGCCACAGCAGAGAGCUGGAUCAGAAGUGGAGCAGCCGGAACUCGAACCGGCGCCCAUAUGGGAUGCGGCACUGCAGGUCACAGCUUUACCCACUAUGCCACAGUACCGGCCCCAUAUGUGUGUUUCUUAACAUCCACAACGUUCAAACAUUUUGGAAAGAAAGUCCAGUUUGUCACUCAGAAACUCAGGCAGUCAGGCCCAGUUGAUCCGUGCCCCUUCCCCAUUGUCACCUGCAAGACCCGAGUGGCCUCAGACGCCCCUUGGCCUGGCGCCGUCUGCCGGGCUGAGAGGACGCCCUGAGCCUGCCUGGUGCCACUUGAACAAGCAGUUCCAGUGCUCGGAAAACAGCUCUUUUUUUUAAAUGACUGGUUGUGAUGUUCUCGCUGAGCCUGUUCAGCUCUGCUUUUCUUAGACAUUGGAGGCUGGCUGAGGCCUCCUGGUGCCUUGGGGAUUUUUUUUUUUUUUAAGAUUUAUUUAUUUGAGUGACAGAAACAGAGAGACGGAGCUGUUCAAUCUGCUGGUUCAUUCCCCAAAUGGCUGCAACCGCCAGGGCUGAGCCAGGCUGAAGCCAGGAGCCAGGAACUGCAUCUGGGCCUCCCACAUGGGUGCUGGGGCCCAAGGACUUGGGGCAUCCUCUGCUGCUUUCGCAGGUGCAUUAGCAGGGAGCUGGAUUGGAAGUGGAGCAGCUGGGACUCGAACUGGCAUUGCAAGUUGUGGCUUAACCUUUUCACAGCAGUGCUGGCCCCACCCUUGGGGCUUUUUACACACCCGGCCUUCGCCGUCAUUCCACACUCCCUGGGUCAGGAGCCUGUGGUUUCUGGCUCCUGUGUCCUGUAUCACAGCCCAUGGAUCCGAGUCCUGGCUGUUUUUAAUCCAGCUUCCUGGGAGGCAGCAGGUGACAGCUCAAGUACUUGGGUCCCUGCCAUCCACAUGGGAGACCUGGAUUGAGUGCCAGGCUCCUAGCUUCGGGCUGAUCUGGCCCCAGCUGUUGCUGGCAUUUGGGGAGUGAACCAGCAGACAGAAGCUCGCUCCCUUGUCUGUGUGCCUGGCAAAUAGUGAUGAAAGAGCCAGGCACGACUCUGACCUGAGAGGGUGACUUAGAAAUCGGGGUCCGUGCCCCUCCCUAGCCUGAAUGUGUGCUCGAAGCCCCUGGGGGUCUCAGUGCAGAGCAGGUGCAGGGAGCAGGUUAGGGUGAGGGCCACAGACUGCAUUUCUAACCAGCGUCCAGGGGACCCCGUUCCUGCUCAGCCAAUGAGCAGUUUGGCAUAGCAAGGCCCUGAUGAGCAGGUGACAGAGGGUGGCCCACGGGGCCGUACCUGCCCACCCCCAUUUCUCUAGAGCCUUCUCGUGGAUCUCACGCUCGUUGGGUUGUGUCCUGGCUGCAGCUGCCUUCGCGUCACAGAAGCAGAGUGGAGACCAGCAGUCCCCCGUCCAUGGCUGCAGCCAGCUACCCCCAGCAUCUGCAGUCAGCAAAUACCAUAUGGAAAAUUCCAGAAGGUCAGAGUGCGCGGUGACGGAGUGAGGAGUGUGAGGGAGCCGGAAGCCGUGCACUGCCUCACCCUGUGCCGUUGGGGAGCCUGCACCGCCCGCCGUCUGGGUGCCGUGCUCGGGUCACCCUUGUUUUACAUCACAAGGACCCCUGACCCGUGCUCUUGCGUCUCACUGAUUUUCUGUAUUAUUCCUUACUGUUGAUCUCUUGGCGUGCCCUGGAUGGGGGUACUGGGAGACCCUGGGGCCUGCUGUCUGCUCUUGGCUCUUGGCACUUGUCUCUUGGACCCCUUCAUGUUAUAAAACUUUGUGGUGGGGCCAGUGCUGUGGCAUAGCGAGUAAAGCCACUGCCUGCAGUGCCGGCAUCUCAUAUGGGUGCCGGUUCGAGUCCCGGCUGCUCUACUUCUGAUCCAGCUCUCUGCUGUGGCCUGGGAAAGUGCUACAAGAUAGCCCAGGUCCUUGGGCCCCUGCACCCGCGUGGGAGACCCGGAGGGAGCUCCUGGCUCCUGGCUCCAGAUCAGCGCAGCUCCAGCCAUUGUGGCCAUCUGGGAAGUGAACCAGUGGAUGGAAGCCUUCUCUCUCUCUCACUCUCUCUCUUUCUCUGCCUCUGCUUCUCUAUAACUUUGCCUUUCAAGUAUAUAAAUAAUAUAUAUAAUAUAUAAUACAUAUUAUAUAUUAUAUAUUAUAUAAAUAAUGUAUAUAAAGAUAUUAUUUAUUUACUUGGAAGUCAGAGUUUCACAGAGAGAGGAGAGGCAGAGUUAGAGAGAGAGGUCUUCUAUCCGCUGGUUCACUCCCCAAUUGGCCACAAUGGCUGGAGUUGCACCAAUCUGAAGCCAGGAGCCAGGAACUUCCUCCAGGUCUUCCAUGUAGGUGCAGGGGCCCAAGGACUUGGGCCAUCCUCUACUGCUUUCCCAGGCCACAGCAGAGAGCUGGAUUGGAAGUAGAGCAGCCUGGUCUUGAACUGGCGCCCAUAUGAGAUGCCGGCACUGCAGGCCAGGGAGUUAACCCGCUGUGCCAAAGCGCUGGCCCCGCAUAGUUUCCUUUGAGAACAGGUUUUACACACGGGCAGUCCAGCAACCCAAGCUCCAAGGGGCUGACGCUGAGCAGGUGGCACCCAGUGGGUGGGAGUUUGGGGAGCCCUGGGACAGGGGCGGGGCCAGCGGUGCUCAGCUGCCUGCCUGGGGCCGUGGGAGCCAUUGAGGGAGGCGGCUGGGUGAGCGCAGAGGGGAUGGUGGGGCUGAGGCCCUGUUCCAGCUGCUUCAUCCCAACCCGUCUGUCUUGGUCCCUGCUUGCGUCUCUGUCUCCUUCCACGCCAUCUCCUGGGUUUGUGUCUCUGCUCGUCUCGGUCUCCCUGCCUCUGCCCGCUGGCGCUCUCCUCUGCUGUGUCUCAUCUCUCUGUCCCUGUCUCCCUGACUGACUGGCUCUCUGCCUCUGGGUCCCCUGCUGCCUUCCUCCCUGCCCCUACACUCGCAGGCUCAUGUGCAUGCUUGCGUGUGCACACACACACUCACAGAUGCACACAUAUGCACUCAGGCGUGCACACUUAUAUGUGCACAUGCUCACACACACUCAGGCACACACUCAUGUGCACACUCACACACACAUGCACACACACUCAGGUGUGCAUACUCACGCAUGCACACGCUCACGCACAUUCGUGCCCACACUCAGGCGCACACUCACAUGUGCACACACUCUCACACAUAUGCACACACAUGCACACAUUCAGGUGUGCACACCCACGCGUGCACACACUCACACACUCAUGUACACACUCACAUACACACAGACUCAGGUGCACACACGCAUGCAAAUGCUCACACACACUCAGACUCACACUCAUAUGUGCGCACACACUCAUGCACAUGCACUCACAUGCACACACUCAUGUGCACACACGCUCACACACACUCAGGCACACACUCGCAUGCACACACUCACGUGCACACAGGCAGUGGCACAGCCUUCCCUGACUCAUCAGGUGCGCUUGCCCCACUUCCCCUGGCUGCCAGGGACCUCUGCUGCAGAACCUCCUGGAACCUGCUCAGGGCCCCCUGGGGCGUGGGGGGAGGACGGAGGCAGGCCCCUGCGUGCCCGAGGCUGGUGUGUGCCCUAUUCCUGCAGGGCCUCCCUGCCUGCCUUAGGGCUGUUGGGGAGGAAGAGGAAGGAAGGCUGGGCGGGCAGCAGCAGGCGGCAGGGCCGCUUUGGGUCUGGUUUGCGUUGGGGCCCAGAGCAGGGCGGUCGGCAGGCAGGCUGGGGGGUGCCGGGUCCUCUUCCUCUGAGGACCCCCAGUGCCUGCACACAGUAGGUGUCUGCCUUCUCUCUGUGGCUGCCUGCUCGCUGCCCUGCCCGAGCGCACAGUAGGCCAGGGGUGCCUCUUGGCUAAGAGCUUUGGGGAGAAAAAUGAGAUUGGAACCUGGGUCCAGCCCUGUCCUUCCCCAGAGGGGCACACUAAGGCCUUGGGCAUCGUGGAGGCUUUGGAGGAUGGAACGCUUGGGAGCGGGGUGUGAUGUGGGCGGAGGCGACGGCACCAUGUGACCCGUGCGUGGCCUGUGUCACACGGAAGCAGUGGCUCCCUCCUGCCUUUUCCUCCACCUCUGCUUGCGGGGGCCCUGCACUCUUGACGGGGGAGGGACAGGAAGAACCAAGGAGGAAGGACUUGUAGCUGCCUGCAUUGGUCAUCUGGUAAACCUCCAACUGUUGCUGAGCCAACAGGUGCCUGGGGCUGCGUCUAGGCUUGUCUGAGAGGCCUUGGAAGCUCAUGGUGACCUGGGGCACAGGCGUCGAGCAGGGGCCCCUGGUGGUGGAAAUGCGGGAGCUCUUGGGUCAGGCACACUGGAGCGAGACCCGCAGCUCUCUCUCUGGCUUGAGCUGCAGGACCUGAGACCUCCGGGUACACACAUGUUCUCUCUGUGGUAGUCAGUCCCCCCAACUCCCCUCAAACAGGGAUCAUAGCAAUGACCAUCUCGGGGCUGUCGUGGUACCUGGUGCACAGACGCACCCAGGAGCUCCUCCAAGGGUUUUGCUGUUCACCCAUUUUGCAGGUGAACAGGCUCAGAAGUUCAAGGCCUUCCUGGACAUGACCAGGCAAGUCUGCAGAGGGAACUGGCCACCAGCAAGAUCCCAGGCCCCCUCGGAGCCCCCAGCCCAAGGCUCUUCCCUUAUUCUGAACCUGCCGUUUCUCCUGCCUCAGUCACUCCAUGUGUGUGUGCAUGCGUGCAUGUGUCUGUGUGUGCAUGUGUGUCCAUGUGUGUGCACGUGUGUCCAUGUGUGCAUCUGUAUGUGUGUCCAUGCCUGUGUGCGCAUGUGUGUGUCCAUGUGUGCAUCUGUGUGUGUCCAUGUGUGCACAUGUGUCCGUGCCUGUGCGUGCGCGUGUAUGUCCGUGUGUGUGUUCAUGUGUCUGUGUGUGCAUCUGUACGUGUGUGUCCGUGUGUGCACAUGUGUCCAUGUGUGUGUCCAUGCCUGUGUGUGCGCAUGUAUGUCCAUGUGUGUGUCCAUGUGUGCAUCUGUACGUGUGUGUCUGUGUGUGCACAUGUGUCCAUGUGUGUGUGUCCGUGCCUGUGUGCAUGUGCGUGUGUGUCCGUGUGUGUGUUCAUGUGUCUGUGUGUGCAUCUGUACGUGUGUGUCCGUGUGUGCACAUGUGUCCAUGGGUGUGUGUCCGUGCCUGUGUGUGCGCGUGUAUGUCCGUGUGUGUGUUCAUGUGUCCAUGUGUGCAUCUGUACGUGUGUGUCCGUGUGUGCACAUGUGUCCAUGUGUGUGUGCCUGUGUGUGUGUGCAUGUGCAUGUGCGUGUGUGUGUCUGUGUGUGCAUCUGUACGUGUGUGUCCGUGUGUGCACAUGUGUGCGUGUGUGUGCAUGUGCAUGUGCUGUGUGCGUGUGCGUGUGUGUUCUCAUUCUGAGCAGGGCUGGAGGCCUUUGAAGCUCUUCCUGCUUCCAGGACCAAGCGAGGAGGCUCUGCCGGUUUCUCCGGCAGGACAGAGGGGUGGGUUAAUGCCUGCAGGAGAUGAGAGUCACAAGCCUGGCCACCUCGGAACGGGGCCAAGAAAUGACACCGUUCAAACCCCCACCCAAAUCCUGUCCCCUGCUAAUGCGCCCACGGUGUCCCUGGGACGGCAGCCUAAUGCCUCUUGGACGGACUACAAGAGAAGAUGGAGCCCGUCUAGCCCAGAACAUUGCAUGCAGCUGGUAUUUAUUAGUUGCUUGCUUUGUUCUUGGUGAAGCUUUUCCACCUUUUGGCCGGCAGCCACUCGCAAAGCCGCCACCACGAAGUCGUGGAAGGCGGUGUGAUCAGAAGUGCCGGCGGCGGGGGCGGGGGGUGGGGGUGGGAGGCAAGGGGAAGGCAGCUGGAGACUUCCUAAGCACCAGGCAUCUCAUCACCUUCUGACCUUUUUGCGCAGAUAUUCUGGAAUCUUCUUCCCAAGUGGAAACUCACAUCUGCAUUUAGGGGGCGGAAGGGAGAGUGGCCCCGGGCAGCCUCAGUGUUCCGUUGAGACUCCGGGUACACAUUUGGCUGCUUUUGCUGAGACAGACUUUCGAAGUCAGGCUGGUGCUGGGAGAUGACUGUGAAAACAGGAAGCAUGCUGAGGUCACAAAGAACCUACUAUGCGCCUUUGAGUGGCAACACUGUGAGUCAGUGACCGAAGGAAGGAAGGAAAGCAGUGACCUGGCCCUGGGACAUGGGAAGUUUCAAAGGCACAUUGUCUUCAGGUGCAGCUGUAUCCAGGUGCUCCUGUGGGUCAGGACACUGCCUUUUUUUUUUUUUUUUUUUAACUUACUUGUUUUAUUUGAAAGGUAGAGUUACAGAGAGAGAGAGAGAGGUCUUCCAUUUGCUGGUUCACUCCCCAAAUGGCUGCACCUGCUGGAGCUGGGCCAGGUUGAAGCCAGGAGAUUCUUCCAGGUCUCCCACCUGGUUGCAGGGGCCCAAGCACUCGGGCCAUCUUCCACUGUUUUCCCAGGCACGUCAGCAGGGAGCUGAAUGGGAGGUGGAGCAGCCGCGUCUCGAACCGUGGCCAGCACUGCAGGUGGCAGCUUCACCCUCUAGGCCACAGUGCCAGCCCCUGUUUGUACUCUUGAAGGAACUGGGGCUGGGCCAGGGUGAAGCCAGGAGCCUGGAACUCCGCCCUGGUCUCCCACCCGGGUGGCAGGGGCCCAUGUUCUUGGGCCGUCUUCUGCUGCCUUCCCAGGCGCCUUGGCAGGUAGGCCGUGCAAGAACUGGCCUUUCCUGCUGAAGUGGGAGUCCAGGAAGGGGCAGGAAGGGCCUGGCUUCCCCUUUCCCGAGAUCGCUCCUGAUGCUCGCUGCAAACAGACCCAGGAGACGCGGAGGGGAGCAGGGAGACCGGAGAAAGUUGCACAGCCCAAGGCGAGAGGCCACAGAGCAGGGUGGCCCCCCGGAGCACGCCCACCCGAGCGAGUGGUGAAGACAGGGGUAUGGCUGUGUCUGAAAGGUCCCAUUGGGGUGCGAGAGAAAGGCAAACAGCAGAGCUGCCCGCAGGGGUUCUGGCCCGAGGAUGAAAGGGUGGCGCUGCCAGGACCGGGAGGGGACACCGGGAGGACUUGGGAUGGCUGGGUUUGGCCCGGCCUAAGGAAAAACCCUGUAAACACACUCACACCUCGGGGUGGCAGAGAGCGAGCGAGGCGGAGCCAAGCGGCCCUCACUCCUGGGCGUGUGUGCACAGGCCAGUCCAGCCCGGCUGCUGGCUUACUGAGUGCGGGUCUGGGGGUCCUGGGUGCCAGCAGCUGGGGCGUGGCUGGCACGGUCGCAGGCCGAGGCUCACUCGGCCUGGGUGUUCCCUGUGCCGGCAGGGAGGGGGCCACUAGGGAGUGCGGAUGGAAUGGAUGAAUGAAUGGUGUGUCCCUCCGGGGCAGCCAGGGAUGGCGUGCGGGUGGCAGCGUCGGGCACAGCGCAGUUCCGAGACUGACCCACGGGGAAGGGUGUGCAUCGUGAGGCCAGCUCGAGGGGUUUUGUAGACAGAUGUGUCCCUGGGACCAGUUCCCAAAUCUAGAAAGGAAACCCAGCCCGCGCCCUCCCUGCACCAGGGCAUCCUGUGCCCCCUCCAGUCCCUGGGGCGGCCGGCCCCUAGUGGCUGCUGUCACUCAUUGCCCCACCCCUCUCUACUGGCCCUGGCGUCCCAGGGACCACGCACCAUGGUCGCUCUGCAUUGACUUCUGUUUCAGUACAGUCUGACUCCGUCUCCCGGCCGUCUGUCAUGUUCAUUUAUUUUUCUUUUUUCUUUCUUUUUUUUUUUUUUUUUUUUGACAGGCAGAGUGGACAGUGAGAGAGAGAGACAGAGAGAAAGGUCUUCCUUUGCUGUUGGUUCACCCUCCAAUGGCUGCUGCAGCUGGCGCACCACACUGAUCCGAAGCCAGGAGCCAGGUGCUUCUCCUGGUCUCCCAUGGGGUGCAGGGCCCAAGCACCUGGGCCAUCCUCCACUGCACUCCCGGGCCACAGCAGAGAGCUGGCCUGGAAGAGGGGCAACUGGGACAGAAUCCGGUGCCCCGACAGGGACUAGAACCCGGUGUUCCGGUGCCGCAAGGCGGAGGAUUAGCCUAGUGAGCCGCAGCGCCAGCAACCAUUUAUUUUUCCACCCUUCGGUGGACGCGCAUCAGAGCGUCCCUGGUGGCGGGGGGGGGGGGGCGCCGCUGGGGUUGCACUGACGUCUGUGCUGUGGUGAACGCCCAGGGGCGGAGUUGCUGCCGUCAGCUUUUCCGGAGGCCGGUGCCCGGUCAGCCUCCCAGCAUCAGAGCAGCCAGGGUCCGCUUGCAUCGCCGCCUCGCCAGCACUUGGGGUUGGCUUCACUUUCGUCAGAUGCAUAGUGACCCGACAGUGGAGUAUUAAAAAUUAUGGAUUUAUUUAAAAAGGGAGAGAGAGAGAGAGAGAGAGAGAGAGAGAGUUAUCUCCCACUCAUUGGUUCACUCCCCAAAUGCCCGUGAACAGCUGGGGCUGGGCCAGGCGGAAGCCAGGAGCCGGGAACUCCAUCUGGGUCUCCCGUGUGCAUGACAGGGCUCCAGUACUUGAGCCAUCCCAGGGUGUGCACUAGCAGGACGCUGGAUUGGAAGCAGAAGCAGCAGGACUUGAACCGUGCACUCUGAUCCGGGGCACAGGGCCCCAUGCAGCAGCAUAACCGCUCUACCAGGCAUCCACCUCCCUGGCCACGUGCUUUUAGUUUGCAUUUAUUCCCUGGAUAGUGAGAUGGUGCGCCUGCCAAACACUUUACUGACUGUUCAGAUAACCUCUUUGGUGAACUGUCUCUUCAGACUCGCCUUUCCCGUUUCUUAUUGAUUUCUCAGAGCUCUUUAUAUAUUCCAGAUACAGGUCUUUUGUCUAGUGGGUAUUGUAAAUGUCUCCUUUUGCCUGUGGCUUCGUUGAGCAGCAAGAGGAACAAGCAGGAGCUCUGAGCCUUGGACUCCUUGAUUUGAGCACAAGGCAAGCCCAUCCCCUGUGCGAGCCUCAGUUUUCCUUCCUACAGCCUGCAGAACGUUAACCCAUUGUCUGUGGCUUUGAUUAGCACCUUUGCUAGCAUAAGAAAGCCCUGAACUAAAAUGGGCAAAACUGGCCCAGUGGGGUUUUCUCAUCAAAGUCCUCCCUGUUUCUCAAGGAAGUUCUGCAGGCAUCUAUUGAGUACCUAGUGUAUACCAGGCUCCGGGCUGGGCGCUGCAAGCACAGCCGUGGGGGCAGGUGUUUGGCCUCAGAGAGGAGAUGCCAGUCAGAGUGCCCACACCCCAUAUCCAAGCUCCUGGAUUUCAGUCCUGGCUUCACCCCUCAAAUGGCUGCAAUAGUUGGGACCAGGACAGGCCAAAACCAGGAGCCUGGAACUCCAUCUGGGUUUCCUACGUGGGUGCAGGGAUCCAAGCUCUUGGGCCAUCCUCCGCUGCUUUCCCAGGCACAUAAGCAGGGAGCUGGACCGGAAGUGGAGCAGCUGGGACUUGAACUGGCGCCAGUAUAGGAUGUUGACAUUGUAGGCAGCGGCUUAACCCGCUGCACCACAGUGCAGGCCCCAUCACAGGACGCUUGAGGCAGGAGCCCCGCGGUUGGACGUCUGAGCUGGGUGUACAAGUGUACCCGUAGGGAGAUUGGAAUAGAAGGGCUGCGCUGCAGUGCGGAGAGGAGCCUGGAUGCCCCAGGUGUCCCCACUGUCGCCGAUCCACGGGUGAACGCCCAGGCUAGACCCAGGGGAAGGAGGAGCCUUCCGGGGAGGCGGGACUGGCCCAGGGCCGACCGCUCCUUCAAAGCCCUCAUGGCCAGACGCCAGCAGGAGAGACUUCAGCUACCGCUGCUCCCUCUCACCUGCCAGCCCCGGCCUGGCCCUCCCCUUCCCCGGCUGCUCCACUUCCUGAGUUUGCAGGUGCAAGCCCGCACCUCCCUGAGCUGUAUCUCCGUGUUCGGUCAAGUGUUCUGCACCUGCCCAGGUUUGAUGCCCCAUCUCUUGCUGCCCAGCCCUCUUUUCCACCCCCCUUACCUGCUGUGUGACCCUAAGCAAAUAGCUUUCUGUCUCUGGGGGCUGCCGGCUUUGCCCGGCCUUACUCCUGUCAUGCCUGGUGCUCAGGAAACCUCAGAAAUGCCCACGGGUGACAGGUCUUCCUGGAGUGGGGCCUGGGGGUGGCACAGCGGAGACCCAGCUGGUAACGUGCAGAUGGCACUCUGGGUUUGUGGGUGGCUUCUUCAGUCUCUGCGUUAUGGUCCCAUUUCACUGCCGAGAAAGCCGAGGCCCAGGUGAAGCGCCUUGCCCAGGGCCACACAGCUUUGCAGAGGCAGAAUUCGGAUGAGGAAUGCUGAGUUUGCAGGUGCAAGGCCGCACCUCCCUGGGCUGUAUCUCUGUGUUCGGUCAAGGGUCUUGCACUUCUCUGAGCCUCAGUUUCUGCAUCUGUCAAAUGGGCUGGGUGCUGAGCAGUGCCCAAGGCUCAUUGAUUGAUCUGCCUGGGAGCCCUCCCUGCAGCCCUCCGCGGCGUGUGCUGUGAGCCCAUUCAUCAGCAGAGGGAACCGAGGCUAAGCCAUGCCACCUGCUGCUGGGGUCCCACUGCCGCUGGGCUCCGGUGCCCUUGGCCUCCACCGCGCAGCUCUCUGGGGGUGCCUGUUGCACACAGGCAGAGUGGGUUUGCCCGGUGCCCAGCCCAGGCAUCCGUCCUGCAUGGCUGGACGUGAACAGGCCCAGGAGUAGCCGUGCCGGUGCCCACGAGCUGUCUCCCUCCCUCCCUCCAUGCUGGGUGAGCGCUUAUCCAUCCACCUUCCUGCUCUAAGCUGAUUCUGACAGCCAGAGCGGUUGGUCAGGAAGGUGGCCCAGGCCGGGGCCAGAUCCUACGAGUCAGAGCAGGGAGAGGCCUUAGAAGGGAGUCGGUCCCCGGUGCUGGUUGCCUGGAUGCCUCGUUCAGCCUCACUCACCGCAUCUGGAAAAUGGGAGGAAUCGCCAGUGUAGCACAGAUGGCGAGGUGCACCAGUGCAGAGUGGGUGCCAAAGGGGCGCUGGCCCAGUGCUGGGGGAUGGGUCUGGGGCGGGGGGUGCUGCUGAGAUAGGAAGGGCGUGUGGCUGGCAGCUUAGGCGUCUGUCGGGGAGGCCUCAGCUGGGGGGAGGUGCCCUGUAGCUGCCGGGGCUGCUGGGGAGCGAUUAAAAGAGGGAGAGAGCCACGGGGGUCCAGCCUGGUGAGGGGCUUGUCUGGGUGCUGGGGCUUCGCCUGCGUUUACUGAAGUGGCCACCGUCCUAGAACAGGGCCUGGCACAUGGUAGGUGCUCAGGCACCUGGCAGGAGGGAUACGUAGGGUGACAGGGAGGACUUUAAGGUGAGGGGAGCAGGUGAGGUUCAAAAGUGGGGGAAUAAUCCAGGGCCUCUUAGCUGGGGUUUGCUGACGUCUGGGGCUCUGUGAUCGGUGGUGGUGGGUGGCAGAGAAAGGCAGACGGACAGACGGAGCCCCCGGCCACUGGGUCGCUCCCCAGAUGCCUCCGGCGGCUAGGGCGGGAUUGGAGCCGAAGCUGGGAGCCAGAAACGUGGUGCGGGUCUCCCACGUUGGGGGCGGGAAGCAAUCAUGGGAGCCAUCACCUGCUGCCUCCCGGGAGGGGGAGCUGCGAGUGGAAGCUGGGUGCUCCAGAGUGCCUUCACCCGCGUCCUAACUGCCGGGCGAGGGGCCCGCUCCCUGUAGGAUAACAGCAGCAUCCCCAGCCUCUCCCAUUGGAUAGCCCCCAGCCAUCACAACUGUCUCUGGAUACCGCCUGUUGUCCCCUGAGGGACUGCUUGAUGGGCUGGCGGGCGGGUGGAAGGAGGGUGAGGCCCCGCGUCCUUCCCGUUCGACAGACACUUGGUUGUGACCUCCUGGAGAACACAGGUGCACCUGGCUCCUGUCCGAACUGCCCAGCUGGGGCCACCUCUUAGAAAAGAGACAAGGGGCCAGUGCCGUGGCUCACUUGGUUAAUCCUUUGCCUGCAGUGCCGGCAUCCCAUACGGGCGCCGGAUUCUGUCCCGGUCGCUCCUCUUCUAGGCCAGCUCUCUGCUGUGGCCCAGGAGGACAGUGGAGGAUGGCCCAGGUGCUUGGGCCCUGCACCCGCAUGGGAGACCAGGAGGAAGCACCUGUCUCCUGGCUUCGGAUCAGUGCAGCGCUGGCCAUAGCAACCAUUUAGGAGGUGAACCAACAGAAGGAAGACCUUUCUCUCUGUUUCUCUCUCUCUCACUGUCUAUAAUUCUACCUGUCAAAUAAAAAAAAAAAAAAAAAAAGAAAAAGAAAAAGAAAAGGGACCAGAGGACAGGUUGGAGGUUUUGCUCUAGAGACUUAAAGCAUUUCUCAUGUCCUUUUUAUUGACUGAUUUAUUUUUAUUUUUAUUCUUUCUUUGAAAGGCGGUGGGCCCCACCUUGUGGCACAGCUGGUUAAGCUGCCACCCUGUAAAUUCAGCGUCCCAUUUCAGAACGCCGGUUCGAGUCCCGGCUGCUCCGCUUCAGAUCCAGCUCCCUGCUAAUGUACCUGGGAAAGCAGCAGAGGGUGGCCCCAAGUGCUUGGGCCCCUGCACCUGCGUGGGAGACCUGGACAGAGUUCCAGGCUCCUGGCUUUGGCCUCUGUCAUUUUAUCUUUUAAAUAAACAAAAUAAAUCUUUAAGGGGGGGGGGGCAGCGAGACAGAGAGAGAGAGAGAGAGAGGAGUUUGCUUUACUCCCCGAAUGCCUGCAACAGCUUGGGCUGGGCCAGGUCAAAUCCAGGAGCUGUGGGCUCCAUGCAGGUCUCCCACGUGGGUGGCAGGGACCCAAGUACUUGAGCCGUCACUGCUGCCUCCCAGGGCGUGCGUGAGCAGGACGCUGGACCGGAAGCAGAGCCAGGAUUGGAAUGCAGGUGCCCUGGGCAGCUUAACCACUAUACCAGACACUCGCCCCUGGCUUGUUCCGUUUAAUGUGGAGAUUGAUCAUAGCUGUGAGUGGAACAGUUCAGUGGAUUUUUCAAAUGGGAGUGAAACCCCGGGCUGGCCCCAAGCUGUGUGAAUUUGAUGCAAGCGUGCACUCAGGGAGUGCAUGUCGGCACCUGGCUCGCAGUGGGAAUGUAGCCAGAGCCCAUUAUGGUGCUGCUACGUCCUCCCAGCUCCCCCUAGGCGGAAGCAGCCAAAACUGUGUGUGUUCAGGCUGGAGCUCAGAGACCAAGAGGCACUUGCCCAGAGCCGCACAGCAAAUAGGACCGAACCUCGGACCAGGCCAUUUCUCCUCUGCCACCUCAGCCCCGGCCAGGCUCCUGGGCCUCCUGGCCAUCAGACCUGUGCCCUGAGGCCGGGUGAGCUGUUCCAGCCUCCUCCCCACCCCCAGCUUGGCUGACACCCACCAGGAAGCAGGCAGGGCCGGAAGUGGCAGGGGACAGACCGUGUGGGAGUUGUGCUGUGGCUUUGCCUGACAGCACCGGGAAGACCGCCAGGGACAGGGAGCCUGGGACGGGGGGACCUUGGCAGGUCUGGUCUCUGUAGGUGGGCACUGACGGCCAGCCCCGUGCAGCUUCUCUUCUGCUCAGACAUCUGCUGUGGCUCCCUAGAACCUCAGUCUAAAUUUGCCUUCCUGUGCCCGCUGGGUUAGCACCGCAUGUCCUACAAAAGACUCUCCGUGUGACAGCUGGCUGUGAUCGGAGGAGCUGGAGCACUUGCCGGCAGCCGGGCCUGGCGCUAAAUAUCUCGUGCGUGAUAUCUAAUUGAAUCCUUGUGAGAGCCAAGUGGCUCUGCUUCUUCCUAUUUUGCAAAUGAGGAAAGCGAUGCCGUGGAGGUGGGGUGUCUCGCCCAGGGUCCCAGAGCUCGUGGUGCAGCCGGGAUCUGCCGCCGACUCCAGAGCUGCGUCUUUUUCUUUCUCUUUUUUUAAGAUUUAUUUAUUUAUUUGAAAGGCAGAGUUACAGAGAGACAGAGACAGAGAGGGAAGUCUUCUAUCCACUGGUUCACUCCCCAGAUAGCUGCAAUGGCCAGAGCUGCGCCUAUCCGAAGCCAGGAGCCAGGAGCUUCUUCCGGGUCUCCCAUGUGGGUGCAGGGGCCCAAGCACUUGGGCCAUCUUCUACUGCUUUCCCAGGCCACAGCAGAGAGCUGGAUCGGAAGUGGAGCAGCCGGGACUAGAACCGUCUUUAACCAGGAGUCAUCCUGCUUGGUCUUGUCUGGAGAGUGCACCAGUGUGGUGCCAGCAGAAGUGACCCUGGGAGCAUAGGCGGCAGCUGGGCUGGGGGUCUUCAGGGCGGGGCUUGCUCUGACGUUGCCUGGACCCUCCCAGAGCUUUCCACAAGGCCGCACCUCACUCUGUUCUGGGGCCCAAGGUCGCGAGUGACGUAACAAACCAAGACGUCACCCCAGUCUCGUUUUUCCAUUCUCUUUCUCUGUACCACAUGGUUGGUAUAGCUACUACUGAAUCGUUGGCAAAUUCAGAAAAUGGGGGGGUGGGGGUUAAGGAAGUUCAGCAAGUUCAUGGAAAAUGCAUAUGGGGGGGGGGAGAAUCGUACAUAGAAUUCAAAAAUGUGUUCGACAGAACAAACUUAUCUUUUCAUUCCACUUUGUGUGAACCUUUUGCAGUACCCUUGUAUGAAGCCGCAGGUUACAUUUUAUCCAGUAAUGAAUGCAUUUGUUUUAUUUGGGAGAGACAGAGCGAGAGCUUGCUUCCCAGAUGCCUGCGAGGCCUGGGGCUGGGCCAGGCUGCAGCUGAGAGCCAGGACAUUAGCCAGGGCUCCCAGGUGGAUGACAGGGCCGGGAGGACCUGAGCCCUGGCCUGCUGCCUGCUAGGGUGUGCACUGGCAGGAAGCUGGAUGUGGGAGUGGAGCCAGGCGGCCUCGAGGCCCAGUGCUGCCCGGAAGCCCUGGCUUGUAUCCUAGGGUGUUUCUUGAGAGAUUUCUUUUUUCCUCCCAACAUCUUUACCAGAAUGGAGCAGAUAACCUGUUCAUCCCCUGACCUCUGACCCCAGAUAAUGAGUGCUUUUGCCUGGGCCUGUCUACGCCCACGCUAUGCGGUGUGGACUGUUUAUUCCCUAAUUAAGAGAUGAUGAGAAAUUAAUGGCUGGCGUUUACGGAACAGCUCCUGCUGCCAAGUCCCGCCCCCAGCACUCGCCCAUCACCCCUCACAGCCGCCCUCCGAGGCAGGCGAUGCAGUUCCAUUGUACAGACGAGCAGGUUGAGGCUGCUGAAGUUAAACUGCCCCGGGUCCUCGGCAGAGCCGCUGGUGGCCCCCGGGCCCUUCAGCGCUGGGCCCCUGUGACCUGCGCUUGUUCCCCUGUGCUCUCUUACUGCCGUGCGUCCUGGGGGCUAGUGGGCAGGCAGGGUGCUGGCCGGGGAAGGGAGGAAGACCGAUUAGAAGUCAGAAUGCUUGGAACAGCUCUCCAGGGCCAGUGACGCACCUGCCUGCAGGAACUCAAUGAGCCACGUGCGUGUGUGUGGUGUGUGUGUGUGCGCGUGUGCGUGUGUGUCUGUGAGAUCCAGACCGCCAUCCCCGAGCCUCCAGGGUGCUUCUGGGGGUUGCCGGAUAUGGUGCUGUCCCAUCCGUAAAGGUAUUUAGCAUGUAGGAGCUCAUAGCCUGGAGAAGGGAUCCAGAGCUCCGGGAGGUCACCUGCACCGCCUGAGUCCCUGGGAGGCAUGGCCAGUGCCGGGUGCUCCUCCGGGCACCAGCAGGUGUCACUCAGUCCCACGUGGGUGCCACCCGGACCAGUCACGGGGACUGACACCUUCUGUAAUCACUGAGUCGUCGGCCGUGAACGCCUUUGGGCAUCAGGAGCCAGGAGGAGGACUUGAACCCAGGUGCUCUGACGGGGGACGCGGGUGCCUUCACCGCUUCCCAACCACUGGGUUACACGCUGGCCCUAAAGAGGACUUUAUAUUCCCAGCACAGAAAAGUGAUAGAUGGUGAGAUGCACAGGCAAAGUAACCCUGACCUGAUUACUCUGCAUCACACACGGAUGGAGCUGUCACUCUGUACCCCACAAACACAUAUGGUGAACAUCAGUGAAAAGAAGCAGCCAUUGAGCCCAUUUCACAGAUAGGGAAACUGAGGCCUGAGGCUCGAGGUGGACUUGACGCUGCGGAGGGUCUGGGAGAGAGGCAGGUUCAUGCCCAUGUCAGCUGACGGCUCACCUGGGCUCUGUGCACCUGCCUGUGCCUCCCUCAUCCACUGCCGCUCAGCUGAGAAGAAGAACCUCUUUCUGCUUUCCCCUGGGGCCCUGUGCCCAUGUCUAUGGCCAAGGUCACUCCUGCCCCCAGCGCACACCACGGUCCUGACCUGAGCUAAAAAUUCAAGAUCACGUACGUGCCAGUGUGGGAGGCCAGCAUGGACAGAAGGCGUGCUGCUUCUGUAAUAGUUUUUUUAAUUAUUUUAAUAUUUUCUUUCUUUAUUUGAAAGGCAGAGUAGAGAGAGAGAGAAUUCUUUUCAUCCAUGGUUCGCUUCCCUAAUAGCUGCAUCGACUGGGCUUGGGCCAGAUUGAAGCCAGGAGCUUCCCCCAAGUCUCCCACGUGGGUGCAGGGCCCCAAGCACUUGAACCAUCCUCUGUUGCUUUCCCGGGAGUAUUAGCGGGGAGCUGGAUUGGAAGUGGAGCAGCUGGGACUCGAACCGGUGUCCGUAUGGGAUGCUGGUAUUGUAGGCGGCGGCUUUACCCGCUACGCCACAGCACCGGCCCCUGUAAUGGUUUGGUUUUUUUGUUUGUUUGUUUGUUUGUUUGACAGGCAGAGUGGACAGUGAGAGAGAGAGACAGAGAGAAAGGUCUUCCUCUGCCGUUGGUUCACCCUCCAAUGGCCGCCGCGGCCGGCGCACCGCGCUGAUCCAAUGGCAGGAGCCAGGUGCUUCUCCUGGUCUCCCAUGGGGUGCAGGGCCCAAGCACCUGGGCCAUCCUCCACUGCACUCCCUGGCCACAGCAGAGAGCUGGCCUGGAAGAGGGGCAACCGGGACAGAAUCCGGUGCCCCGACCAGGACUAGAACCCAGUGUGCCGGUGCUGCAAGGCGGAGGAUUAGCCUAGUGAGCCGCGGCGCCGGCCCACCUGUAAUGGUUUUUUAACUCCCCCUUUCAUUUACUUAUUUUAGAGUACGUGAUGUUGUUACGGAACAGAUGUACACGGUUAGUAAAUUCCAGUCACCCCACUGCCCUGAAAAGCAUUUUCAUUUUCCACGGACACAUUCACAGACCCCCAGAGUCAUGCACCAUCCCGAGCUGCUCCGUGGGAUCAACAGUUCCCACGCCCCGAGAACGGCCUCAGACUUCACGUCCAGAAGGCAGACUCCGAACCCAGCAGGAUGGAUAUUUACAGACACAGUGCAGGAAAAAAACCAAAACACGUCAGCAGUUUUGUCCAGUGCUUUCUCUCCAGCAUAAGACAGACGCUGCAGAGAGGGGAGUCGCCGAUUGUCUCUGGGUCCCAGAAAGGGGACUUUGAGCCAAAAACCACAAACACAGUGUGUUUGCCACAGCCUUCCAGCGGUCCCGAGGUCAGUCCGCGGCAACUAGGCAUGCGCACAAGUUUCGAAUCCUCACUGGCUGACUUUGGUCAUCCGUGGUGGCACCUAGCUCCUUGCUGUCUGUGGCGUUCCUGGGGUGGUUCAUUUAUGAGAAAACUGGCAGGGAAGAGAGAGAUUAUGUGGCUGGUGCUGCGGCUGGUGAAGCCACUGCCUGUGACACUGGCAUUCUAUGUGGACGCUGGUUCAAAUCCUGACUGCUCCAUUUCCGAUCCAGCUCUCUGCCUGGGGAAGCAGUAGAAGAUGGGGUUGAAGUGCUUGGGCCCCUGCACCCGCGUGGGAGACCCAGUUGAAGCACCUGGCUCUUGGCUUUGACCUGGCCCAGCCCCAGCUGUUUGGGCCAUCUGGGGAGAGAACCAGCAGAUGGAAGAUCUCUGUUUCUCUCUCUCUCUCUCUCUAACUCUGCAUUUCAAAUAAGUACAUUAAAAAAAAAAAAAGCUAUAUCACACCGAAGCCAAAGCAAGGUAGCAGGGAAGCAGGGGUGCAGGUUACCGUGCUUAGGAAGGCCCUGGUCCUCGGGUGUCCACACCUUGCUCCCAAAUACGCCACUGGGCUUUUCUGCACGUUCCUCCCCUGGCUUGUGCUUGCUGUGGGCAGAGGGAGAUGUUUCCAGCCCCCUGCCCCUGAGAGCCGUCGCCUGGGUGUCAGCAGGGGCCGGCAGGGGUUUAUUGAUCAGAGGCCCCGGGCCACCUUCAGGGGCCUAGGAAUUUGGAUGGGCACCUCCUCUGACGCCCCCCACCCCCCGCCCCGGUGUGGACGCAGGCACCAGGUCACGGUAGUGGUGGCAGCACCUGGGCCACCCGCAACAGCUAUGCGUCUUUUUAUAGCAUGUUUCAGUUCCUCACUCAGUCUCAUCUCUGCGUGAGCAUUUGGUCAGUCACCCACCGGGUGCCAGAGCUGAUGUACGGCCUGCAUAGGAGGAGCAUGCACGUUACCCGGCGCCGGGGCUGCCUGGCCAGCCAUCCGCAGACUCCGUGCUCCAGGCCGGCGGGUAGCACUCUUGGGCUUGCUCUCUGGCCUCAGACAGCUUCGAGACAGGAGCCUGUGUGUGUGUGUGUGUGCGCGUGCGAGGUGCAGGAAGCCCCGGCCCUGCAAGGUCACCUGGCUGUUUCCUGUUUGUGACCUUCACCGGGCGGAGUCCCCCGUGCGUUGCUGCACAGGAAGCCCAGAGCAGGGGCUGCGGCAGGGGCUGGGGCACAGCAGGGAGUCCCUGCCCAGAGCAGCAGCCGGACUGGGCGCAGACAGCUUCCCCAUCUGUGACCGGAGCUCUGGCAUCAGAUGGACUUGGAGUCCAGCUCGGGCCCAGGCACUUCCGAACUGGGUGGCCACUGACUUCGAAGCACUUCACUUCUCCAAGCCUCAGUGUUCCCGUUCUGUAAAAUGGAGCUAAUGCUAGCACCCAGCCUCCUAAAAGCUGCAUAGAACCGCCGUGCCCACGCCGCUUUGCUUUCUGGCAUGCCCCAUUUUUCUCAUAUUCACUGAAGCUGACCCCCUGGAUCUUCUCCCCUUUGGCUCUCUUGAGCUGAGCCUCAGAACUAAAAUCCCCACGUUUGCGUUUUGCAGGUUUGCUCAGGUUGCCCUAGGAGCCUGGGAUCCGCUUAGCAUCAUCCCAUACUGCAGGGCAGGAGGUGGGCGGGCAGUGACCCCCAGGACACAUCUCACUCACCCUGCCUGUCUUUGCAAAUAGUCUUCCUGGCACCCAGCCAUGUCUGUGCACGUCUGUGUUGUCUGUGGCCACUUCUGCCCUACCACAGGCAUGUUGAGUGCUCGCAGCAAAGACCACUGGCCCACGGAACCAGAGACGGAAGCUUUUGCCAUCCCCGAUAAAGACGGUAGAACAGGCUCUAGAGAGUUUGGGGCACGGGUACAGGAAAAGAAGUCACCGCAGGCCCCAUACUGCCCGGCCACGUGUCCCUUAUCUUCUGUUCCUCCCACUCAUCCUCCACGUGCGUCGAUGACCACAAUAAGAGGAUUAAGCACGUUCAUUUUUUUUUUUGCAUAUUGUCUUUUUUUUUAAUAUUUUUGUUUUUUUAUUUGAGAGAUAGAGUUACAGACAGCAAGAGGGAGAGACAGAAAAAGGUCUUCCAGCUGCUGGUUCACUUCCAAAAUGGCCACAGAGCUGAGCCAAUCCAAAGCCAGGAGCUUCUUCCGGGUCUCCCACAUGGGUGCAGGGGCCCAAGGACUUAGGCCAUCUUCUAUUGCUUUCCCAGGCCACAGCAGAGAGGUGGAUCGGAAGUGGAGCACCUGAGACACCAACCAGCGUCCAUAUGGGAUGCCGGCGCUGCAGGCAGGGGCUUCUUCCACUACGCCACAGCGCCAGCCCCAGCACACUGUCUUAAUGAAAGUCCCAAAAUUCCUCUUGAUGCCUUUUGCUCCAGGUGUCAUUCCCAUUUCUCAGAGACGAACACUGAGGCUUUGGAGAGCUACCCCAGAUGGACCCAGGAUGUCCGACCUUGGAUUGGGAGGGGGGGCAGGACGUGACUGCUGGCCUCAUCGCUCCUCACCCCCAGCUGAACUGAGCCUCGGCGGGGAGUGGGGGAGGGCUGGGACCGCAUGUGGGGACCCUGAUCUGAUGUAGGGAAAGAUCUAUGAAGCAGGGCAGGGAGCCGCCCCUGACCCAGUUCGGGUGCUGUUGUGCUCAGAGUCCUGGGCUCACUCUCCCUCCGUCUCGUGCCCUGGGAGUCUGGCUGGCUUUCCCUGAUGUGGCUCAAAGGGUGCUAUUUGCUUCCCAGGGGACCUGCAUGAGAGAGGGCUGUGGGCUCCCUAGCUCUGCACGGGGCACGCAGGGCAUGGCGGGCGGGUAGUGGCGGCCAUGGCAAUGGAAUGUUUGGGAGGUGGUUCCCACGGAGCGGGAGUGCUGGGCCUCCCUCCAAGGCCGCCACGUGGUGCCGCGACCUGCUUCCUUAGCCGGCUUUGUGUGCUCCACCACCCAACCCCCUCCCCCGUCCACUUUUUUCCCGGGGAACCUCCUGAUCUGCUAAGCGCAGAGAAAUGAGGAUUUUACAGUGCGGAUGAGUUUGAGCCUGAACCAGCGUGGCUUCAGUGUCAUUGUCACCUCCUGCUCUGACCCCCAUGGAAGGCCUGCACCUGCCUCUGUGAGCAUUUAUCCCCGGAGUCCUGGCACGCGCUGGUGUCCUUGUCCCCUGCCGAGGUGUCAGCUCCACGAUGGAACCCAGCAGCUUAAGCAGUGCCCAGCACAUAAGGGCUGAGAAUGCCCACCUCGCCCGGUCCUGCUGAAAACGAGGGCCGGUACCUAAGGUGGUGGUGAUGCUUGCCGCUGGCCAUCCACUGACACGACCGACCCACCUCCUCCCCCGGCUCCUGCGAGGUGCUGCUUGGCUCUCCCAGCCCCGGUUCCAGUGCCCAGUCGCCACGUGGGAGCCUCCUAGUGGGGAUUGUCAUUAUCCCCAUUUUACAGGGCUCUGUUGGCACACGGCCGUGGUGAGCAGGUGCGCAGGCUG